This 497-nucleotide ribosomal RNA is filed under the name uncultured bacterium. RNAcentral describes it as "partial 16S ribosomal RNA". It matches the Rfam family "Bacterial small subunit ribosomal RNA", at positions 28 to 507 of the family's 1533-position model. The record is from RNAcentral.
GACGAACGCUGGCGGCGUGCCUAAUACAUGCAAGUUGAGCGCUGAAGGUUGGUACUUGUACCAACUGGAUGAGCAGCGAACGGGUGAGUAACGCGUGGGGAAUCUGCCUUUGAGCGGGGGACAACAUUUGGAAACGAAUGCUAAUACCGCAUAAAAACUUUAAACACAAGUUUUAAGUUUGAAAGAUGCAAUUGCAUCACUCAAAGAUGAUCCCGCGUUGUAUUAGCUAGUUGGUGAGGUAAAGGCUCACCAAGGCGAUGAUACAUAGCCGACCUGAGAGGGGGAUCGGCCAAAUUGGGACUGGGACACGGCCCAAACCCCUACGGGAGGGAGCAGUAGGGAAUCUUCGGCAAUGGACGAAAGUCUGACCGAGGAACGCCGCGUGAGUGAAGAAGGGUUUCGGAUCGUAAAACUCUGUUGGUAGAGAAGAACGUUGGUGAGAGUGGAAAGCUCAUCAAGUGACGGUAACUACCCAGAAAGGGACGGCUAACUACGUG